AUCUUAUCGAGAGUGGUGGAGGGAACUGACCCGACGAAGCCCGGCAACCAACCUUGUGUGAGGUUAAGGUGCUACAUUCAGCAGACUUUGUUCUGGGAGAUAAGUG
Molecule: non-coding RNA, 106 nt
Filed under: Shouchella lehensis G1
Lineage: Bacteria; Bacillati; Bacillota; Bacilli; Caryophanales; Bacillaceae
Description: Bacillus lehensis G1 SAM riboswitch aptamer (S box leader)
Rfam family: SAM riboswitch aptamer (S box leader)
About the family: The SAM riboswitch is found upstream of a number of genes which code for proteins involved in methionine or cysteine biosynthesis in Gram-positive bacteria. The SAM riboswitch acts at the level of transcription termination control.
Source: Rfam by way of RNAcentral